UCAUUGCGUAAGCGAUUGGAACGGCAUCCUUUUCUAUUAUUUUUUUUUAAAAAAAUGAAAAAAAAGAUAUAGUGGAAAGCGCGGUGCUUC
This 90-nucleotide small RNA is filed under the name Halpernia frigidisoli. RNAcentral describes it as "Flavo-1 RNA". It matches the Rfam family "Flavo-1 RNA". The record is from Rfam by way of RNAcentral. Lineage: Bacteria; Pseudomonadati; Bacteroidota; Flavobacteriia; Flavobacteriales; Weeksellaceae.